UGGGGAAUUUCCCGCAAUGGGCGAAAGCCUGACGGAGCAACGCCGCGUGGGUGAAGAAGGUCUUCGGAUCGUAAAGCCCUUUCAGUCGGGAAGAAACAAAUGACGGUACCGACAGAAGAAGCAUCGGCUAACUACGUACCAGCAGCCGCGGUAAGACGUAGGAUGCAAGCGUUGUCCGGAUUUAUUGGGCGUAAAGCGUACGUAGGCGGCCUUUUAAGUCGGUGGUUAAAGACUGCGGCUCAACCGCAGGAGUGCCUUCGAUACUGAGAGGCUGGAGGGUGGCAGAGGAAGUCGGAAUUCCCAGUGUAGCGGUGAAAUGCGUAGAUAUUGGGAGGAACACCAGUGGCGAAAGCGGACUUCUGGGCCAUUCCUGACGCUGAGGUACGAAAGCCAGGGGAGCAAACGG
This 406-nucleotide ribosomal RNA is filed under the name uncultured bacterium. Its description in RNAcentral is "bacterial SSU rRNA". It matches the Rfam family "Bacterial small subunit ribosomal RNA", at positions 355 to 775 of the family's 1533-position model. The record is from RNAcentral.